This 3143-nucleotide long non-coding RNA is filed under the name Equus asinus (donkey). RNAcentral's name for it is "lncRNA (ENSEASG00005027458.1)". Lineage: Eukaryota; Metazoa; Chordata; Mammalia; Perissodactyla; Equidae. The record is from RNAcentral.
UAGUUUUUCUUCAGAAUCUCUUUGUCAAUUCUUCCCCCUUCCCAAAACACUUCUAGGAUCUUGAUUGGAAUUGAUCAGAUCUACAGAUCAAUUUGGGGAGAACUGGCAUCUUCACAACACUGAAUCUUACAGUCAAUGGCCAGAUGCUGUGUUGGGAGCAUACUCAAGCAGCCCUAGGGGAGGGCCAAUGUGGCAAAGAGGCCUCUUGCCAGCAAGCAGCAUCACUGCCAACUCUAUGAGUGAGCCAUCUUGGAAGAGGAUGCUCCAGCCCCAGCCAGGCGUUCAGAUGAUGGCAGUACUGGCGAGCAUUCUUCACUGAAACUGUAUGAGAAACCCUAAGCUAGAACCACCCAGCUAAGCUGCCCUGAAUUUCUGACGCACAGAAACUAUGUGAAAAGACAAAUGUUUAUUAUUGUGUUAAGCCAUUAAGCUUUGGGGUGAACUGUUAUGUAGUAAUAGAUAACUAAUACAGGGAGUUUUUGUAGAAGAUUUGUCAGACUAAGAAAGUCCCCAUCUAUUCCUAGUUUUAUAAGAGAUUUUAAUUUUUUCCUUUUUCUCCCCAAAGCCCCCCAGUACACAGUUGUGUAUUUUUAGCUGUGGGUCCUUCUAGUUGUGGCAUGUGGGAUGCCGCCUCAGCAUGGCUUGACAAGCAGUGCCAUGUCUGCACCCAGGAUUCAAAUCGGUGAAACUCUGGGCCACUGAAGUGGAGCGCGCGAACUUAACCACUUGGCCACAGGACCAGCCCCUAUAAGAGAUUUUUAAAAAUUACAAAUUGAUGUUGAAUUUUAUCCAUCUAGUGAAUGAACAUAAUAUCUUUCUUUAAUAUGCAAAUAUAAUUAGUUAUACUGGUUGAUUUUCUAAUAUUAAACCAAGUUUGCAUUUCUAGAAUAAACCCAUCUUGGUCGUAACAUAUUGUGAUUUUUGUACAGUAUUAGAUUUAGUUUUCUAACACUUUAUUAGGAUUUUUUGCAUCUAUGUCACUGAGUGAGUGUGACCUGCAAUUUUCCUUUCUCAUAAAGUCUUUAUCAAGUUUUGGUAUAAGGAUUUCGCUAGCUUCACAAAAUUAGUUGGGGAAUGGUUUAGCCUUUUCUAUACUCUGGAUUGGUUUAUAUAAAAUGGAAUUGUUUGGCACUUGAAAUGUGCAUUAGGACUCACUGGUGAAACAAUCUGGACCUGAUUUCUUUGUGGGAAUAUUUUAAGAUAUUGGGUUUUUUUGUUUUUGUUUCAUGAGGAAGAUUGACCGUGAGCUGACACCUGUUGCCAAUCUUCCUCUUUUUGCUUGAGGAAGAGCGGCCCUGAGCUAACAUCUGUACCAAUCUUCCUCUGCUUUGUCUGUGGGAUGCUGCCACAGCAUGGCUUGAUGAGCGGUGUGUAGGUCCAUGUCCAGGAUCCAAACCCAUGAACCCCAGGCUGCUGAAGUGGCGUGUGCAACCUUAACCACUAUGCCACCUGGCCAGCCCCUUAAAUUAUUGUUUUAAUGACUCAAUGGCUAUAGGAUUAUUCAGGGUUUUUAUUUACCUUUGAGUCAGUCUUAGUAAAUCAUAUUUUUUUCUGGCAACUGGUUCAUUUCAUGCAAGUUUCCAAAUCUGUUGAUAUACAUUUUUUCAUAAUUUGUGCUUAUUAUAUAUUUAAUCUAUCAUAUUUAUAGUGUUCUCAUUUUUAUAACUAUUACUAUUUGGAUCCCCUUCUAUCUCUUUUCUUGAUCAAUCUUGUCCAGAGGUUUUUUUUUUUUUUUUGCUGAGGAAGUUUAGCCCUGAGCUGACUACUGCCAAUCCUCCUCUUUUUGCUAAGGAAGACUGGCCCUGAGCUAACAUUCAUGCCCAUCUUCCUCUACUUUAUAUGUGGGAGGCCUGCCACAGCAUGGCUGAUGAAUGGUGUAGGUCUGCAUCCAGGAUGCAAACCCACGAAUCUAGGCCAACAAAGCACAGCAUGCUGAAAUUAACCACUAUGCCAUGGGGCCAGCCCUGAGGUUUUUUAAUUCUAAUAGUUUUUUCUAAAAAUCAAAUUUUAGUUUUGUUAAUCCUCUCUGCUGUAUGAUUUUCUUAAGUUAAAGUGCUAAGAAUUUAGAACAGUGUCCAGCACAUAGAAAGUGUAAAUGUAUGUAAAGUAUUCUUUUCUGAUUUUUUCUUUACUAUUUCUUUCCUUUUACUUUCUUUGGAUUUAUUAUGUUUUCCUUUCUCUAACUUCUUAAGUCGCAAGCCAUUUUGUUCUUACUUUUGGAUCGCUUGCUCUGGGGGAAGCCAACUGCCAUGUGGGGGGCACACUCAAGCAUCCCUAUAGUGAUCAUCUUCUCUUCAAAAGCGUUUAAGGUUAUGACUUCCCUUCUAAGUACUGCUUUAGCUGUAUCACAUAUGUGGUAUAUUUAUGUCACUCAGUUCUAAGUAUUUUUUAAUUCUUAGAGAAUAUAUACUUUGUAAUGUUGUAUAUCUUCCAGAUGUGUCCAUUAGGUAAAAUUGUGAAUUAUGUUGUUCAGAAUUGUUAAACCUUCCUGACAAAUUGAUUUUCUUUAUCUCAAGUAGGACUUUUCGUCUUUAAGUUUAUUUUGUCUGACGUUAGUAUAGUAUUGCUGUUGUUGUUAGUGUCUGCCUGGCAUAUCUUUUUCCAUCAUUCUACUUUAAAAUUUUCUGUGUCACUGUGUUUUAUGUCUCUCUCGUAAACCUUAUAUAGAUAGACUUACUUUUAAUCAAUCUGUCUUUACUUUAAAUGUAAUCCGUUUACAUUUAUUGUGAUUUCUGACAUAGUUGAAUUUCCUGCUGCCAUUUUUCUGGGUGAUUUCUAUUUGUCCCACCUCCCCUCUAUGUAUCUUUUUCUAUCUUUCCCUGUCUUCUUUUAAAGUGAUUGAAUAUUUUUUUCAUUCCUUAUUUCCCUCUAGUAAGUUGGAAGUUAUAUACUCUCUAUGCUUUUAGUGUUUACUCGUGAAAUUUUAUUAUCCAUACCCAACUUUUCAAAGUCCAAAGUUAAUCAGUGUCUUUACUCCACUCUAAACAAUAAAAGACCUGUAGAAAACUUUGACUCCAAUUAUCUUCCUCCCAAUUUAUAUGCUAUUAUUGUCAUGCACUUUAAUUCUAUCUGGUUUUACCUAAACUCCACAAGACAUUAUCAUUAUAGUUUCAUCUAGUCAUUGCUUUUUUGGAUUCACCCAC